RNAcentral lists this ribosomal RNA (491 nucleotides) under uncultured bacterium. Its description in RNAcentral is "partial 16S ribosomal RNA". It matches the Rfam family "Bacterial small subunit ribosomal RNA", at positions 28 to 507 of the family's 1533-position model. The record is from RNAcentral.
GAUGAACGCUGGCUACAGGCUUAACACAUGCGAGUCGAGGGGAAACGACGGGGAAGCUUGCUUCCCCGGGCGUCGACCGGCGCACGGGUGAGUAACGCGUAUCCAACCUGCCUCUGACUGAGGGAUAACCCGUCGAAAGUCGGCCUAAUACCUCAUGGUAUCGUCUGCGGGCAUCCAACGACGAUUAAAGAUUUCAUCGGUCAGGGAUGGGGAUGCGUCUGAUUAGCUUGUUGGCGGGGUAACGGCCCACCAAGGCUACGAUCAGUAGGGGUUCUGAGAGGAAGGUCCCCCACAUUGGAACUGAGACACGGUCCAAACUCCUACGGGAGGCAGCAGUGAGGAAUAUUGGUCAAUGGGCGAGAGCCUGAACCAGCCAAGUAGCGUGCAGGAAGACGGCCCUAUGGGUUGUAAACUGCUUUUAUGCGGGGAUAAAGUGAGGGACGUGUCCCUCAUUGCAGGUACCGCAUGAAUAAGGACCGGCUAAUUCCGUG